AACGAACGCUGGCGGCAUGCCUAACACAUGCAAGUCGAACGAGAUCUUCGGGUCUAGUGGCGCACGGGUGCGUAACGCGUGGGAAUCUGCCCUUUGGUUCGGAAUAACAGUUGGAAACGACUGCUAAUACCGGAUGAUGGCGAAAGUCCAAAGAUUUAUCGCCAGAGGAUGAGCCCGCGUAGGAUUAGCUAGUUGGUGUGGUAAAGGCGCACCAAGGCGACGAUCCUUAGCUGGUCUGAGAGGAUGAUCAGCCACACUGGGACUGAGACACGGCCCAGACUCCUACGGGAGGCAGCAGUGGGGAAUAUUGGACAAUGGGCGAAAGCCUGAUCCAGCAAUGCCGCGUGAGUGAUGAAGGCCUCAGGGUUGUAAAGCUCUUUUACCCGGGAUGAUAAUGACAGUACCGGGAGAAUAAGCUCCGGCCAGCUCCGUGCCAGCCGCCGCCGUAA
This 449-nucleotide ribosomal RNA is filed under the name uncultured bacterium. RNAcentral describes it as "partial 16S ribosomal RNA". It matches the Rfam family "Bacterial small subunit ribosomal RNA", at positions 29 to 523 of the family's 1533-position model. The record is from RNAcentral.